This 24-nucleotide non-coding RNA is filed under the name Arabidopsis thaliana (thale cress). The record is from RNAcentral. Lineage: Eukaryota; Viridiplantae; Streptophyta; Magnoliopsida; Brassicales; Brassicaceae.
GACCCGUAGGAUGGGACGGGAUGC